RNAcentral lists this non-coding RNA (22 nucleotides) under Arabidopsis thaliana (thale cress). Lineage: Eukaryota; Viridiplantae; Streptophyta; Magnoliopsida; Brassicales; Brassicaceae. The record is from RNAcentral.
AUGGCCUGCACAAAUCUACCCC